UGCAAUGAGAGUUGUGCUAAGGUAGCGUGAUAAUUUGUCCUUUAAUUGGGGAAUGGUAUGAAAGGUUUGACGUGGAUGAGUUGUCUCUAGAAAAAUUAUUGAAGUUUCCUUUUAAAUGAAAAGGUUUAAAUUUUUGUAAAAGACGAGAAGACCCUGGCGAGCUGAAUUAGGCGUGAAAUUUUUCUAUACAAAAUGGUUAAUAGAUUAUAAAAUUUGAGGUUGAAUUUUGGUUGGGGAGAGCUAAACUUAAGAGAAUAGGUUUGAGACAGACAUAGAUCCUCUUUGAGAGAUAAUCGGUAAAAAGCUACCGCAGGGAUAACAGCGUAAUUUUUCUUGGGAGAUCGUAUUGAGGGAAAAGUUUGCGACCUCGAUGUUGGAUUAU
RNAcentral lists this ribosomal RNA (382 nucleotides) under Protapes gallus. RNAcentral's name for it is "partial 16S ribosomal RNA". It matches the Rfam family "Bacterial large subunit ribosomal RNA", at positions 1935 to 2540 of the family's 2925-position model. The record is from RNAcentral. Lineage: Eukaryota; Metazoa; Mollusca; Bivalvia; Venerida; Veneridae.